GUAAACGGCGGCCGUAACUAUAACGGUCCUAAGGUAGCGAAAUUCCUUGUCGGGUAAGUUCCGACCUGCACGAAUGGCGUAAUGAUGGCCAGGCUGUCUCCACCCGAGACUCAGUGAAAUUGAACUCGCUGUGAAGAUGCAGUGUACCCGCGGCAAGACGGAAAGACCCCGUGAACCUUUACUAUAGCUUGACACUGAACAUUGAGCCUUGAUGUGUAGGAUAGGUGGGAGGCUUUGAAGUGUGGACGCCAGUCUGCAUGGAGCCGGCCUUGAAAUACCACCCUUUAAUGUUUGAUGUUCUAACGUGGGCCCCUUACCGGGGUUGCGGACAGUGUCUGGUGGGUAGUUUGACUGGGGCGGUCUCCUCCUAAAGAGUAACGGAGGAGCACGAAGGUUGGCUAAUCCUGGUCGGACAUCAGGAGGUUAGUGCAAUGGCAUAAGCCAGCUUGACUGCGAGCGUGACGGCGCGAGCAGGUGCGAAAGCAGGUCAUAGUGAUCCGGUGGUUCUGAAUGGAAGGGCCAUCGCUCAACGGAUAAAAGGUACUCCGGGGAUAACAGGCUGAUACCGCCCAAGAGUUCAUAUCGACGGCGGUGUUUGGCACCUCGAUGUCGGCUCAUCACAUCCUGGGGCUGAAGUAGGUCCCAAGGGUAUGGCUGUUCGCCAUUUAAAGUGGUACGCGAGCUGGGUUUAGAACGUCGUGAGACAGUUCGGUCCCUAUCUGCCGUGGGCGCUGGAGAACUGAGGGGGGCUGCUCCUAGUACGAGAGGACCGGAGUGGACGCAUCACUGGUGUUCGGGUUGUCAUGCCAAUGGCACUGCCCGGUAGCUAAAUGCGGAAGAGAUAAGUGCUGAAAGCAUCUAAGCACGAAACUUGCCCCGAGAUGAGUUCUCCCUGACCCUUUAAGGGUCCUGAAGGAACGUUGAAGACGACGACGUUGAUAGGCCGGGUGUGUAAGCGCAGCGAUGCGUUGAGCUAACCGGUACUAAUGAACCGUGAGGCUUAACCUU
RNAcentral lists this ribosomal RNA (1008 nucleotides) under synthetic metagenome. RNAcentral describes it as "bacterial LSU rRNA". It matches the Rfam family "Bacterial large subunit ribosomal RNA", at positions 1923 to 2925 of the family's 2925-position model. The record is from RNAcentral.